Molecule: non-coding RNA, 125 nt
Organism: Brachypodium distachyon (stiff brome)
Lineage: Eukaryota; Viridiplantae; Streptophyta; Magnoliopsida; Poales; Poaceae
Source: Rfam
AAUAUACUCUCUCUGUCCCAUAUUAAUUGACUUUCUAUUACAUGUAUCUAGACACCUUUUAGUUAUAAAUACAUCCAUAUUUGGGCAGAUUUGAGUCACUUAAUAUGGGACGGAGGGAGUAGAUA